CGGAAGUUCCUCUUGGCCUUCAGCUCCAAGAACUUGAGCUUGCACUCGUCGCUCACCGCCAUUCCCGACGCCGCGUUCGCCUUGACGAAGUGCACAUGCAACACAGACGAUUCACCGUCGUUAGAGAAUGGAUCGAAUGCUCUCCGUUAUCCAUUCUGAGGAGAGUACUGAAAGAGAAAGAACGAGCUCACCAUGGUUUCUCUCCAACGAGGGGCGAGAUGGGCAACGAAGGUUGAGGAAGCUGGGAAAAGAAACGAUGAGGGGGGAGGAAGGAGGAGGACGCGAUGCUUGUGAGGGGGAGGAGGAGGAGGAGGGGAGAAUACGAUGGUGG
This 331-nucleotide long non-coding RNA is filed under the name Musa acuminata (dwarf banana). Its description in RNAcentral is "long non-coding RNA (MACU_LNC004424)". The record is from RNAcentral. Lineage: Eukaryota; Viridiplantae; Streptophyta; Magnoliopsida; Zingiberales; Musaceae.